UCAGGUGCUGCAUGGCUGUCGUCAGCUCGUGUCGCGAGAUGUUCGGUUAAGUCCGCUAACGAGCGCAACCCUCGCUGUGUGGUUACAAGUGUCACACGGAACUGCCGGUCAUAAACCGGAGGAAGGUGGGGAUGACGUCAAGUCAGCAUGGCCUUUAUAUCCUGGGCUACACACACGCCACAAUGGGAAGGGACAAUAGGUUGCGAAGCCGCGAGGCGGAGCCAAUCCAGCAAAACUUCCCUCAGUUCAGAUUGCAGGCUGCAACCCGCCUGCAUGAAGUUGGAGUUGCUAGUAAACGCAGGUCAGCCAUACUGCGUUGAGUACGUUCCCGGGGCUU
RNAcentral lists this ribosomal RNA (337 nucleotides) under uncultured Anaerolineaceae bacterium. RNAcentral describes it as "bacterial SSU rRNA". It matches the Rfam family "Bacterial small subunit ribosomal RNA", at positions 1034 to 1382 of the family's 1533-position model. Lineage: Bacteria; Bacillati; Chloroflexota; Anaerolineae; Anaerolineales; Anaerolineaceae. The record is from RNAcentral.